This is a non-coding RNA of Cinara cedri, 431 nucleotides long. The record is from the annotation of a GenBank genome assembly. Lineage: Eukaryota; Metazoa; Arthropoda; Insecta; Hemiptera; Aphididae.
UAUUAUUUAUCGUUAUUGUUAUGUAUUCUGUGUAAAAAAUGUAUGUGUAUACACGUUGUACCUAUAUACGGAUAAAAUGUUUCUUAACGAAAAAACAAAAGCAAUUUUAGGACAAUCCUUAAUACUAAAAUAAUAAACUCUUAUCACUACUACUUAUACUACUACUACUACUACUACUACUACCACUACCACCUACUACUACUAGUUACUAGUUUACUACUACUAUCAGUGCUUGAAUUGGAAAAAAAAAUGAAACCAAAACAGUGGAGUGUCCAGAAAUUUUCAAUAUUAGAGGAUGUAGUAAAAAAAAUAAUCAUAAAUUAAUCAUAGAACUUCUUCUACAUGCUCAGCCCGAAAAUUGGAAUUUAAAAGCUGGAUCCAAAAAAGGCAAUUUGUAUUUGAUAUAAAUUAAACUUUCUCUUUAACUUGAC